This 520-nucleotide ribosomal RNA is filed under the name uncultured bacterium. RNAcentral describes it as "bacterial SSU rRNA". It matches the Rfam family "Bacterial small subunit ribosomal RNA", at positions 120 to 674 of the family's 1533-position model. The record is from RNAcentral.
GGGAACGUACCCUUCGGUUCGGAAUAACUCAGGGAAACUUGAGCUAAUACCGGAUACGCCCUUUUGGGGAAAGGUUUACUGCCGAAGGAUCGGCCCGCGUCUGAUUAGCUUGUUGGUGGGGUAACGGCCUACCAAGGCGACGAUCAGUAGCUGGUCUGAGAGGAUGAUCAGCCACACUGGGACUGAGACACGGCCCAGACUCCUACGGGAGGCAGCAGUGGGGAAUAUUGGACAAUGGGCGCAAGCCUGAUCCAGCCAUGCCGCGUGAGUGAUGAAGGCCUUAGGGUUGUAAAGCUCUUUUGUCCGGGACGAUAAUGACGGUACCGGAAGAAUAAGCCCCGGCUAACUUCGUGCCAGCAGCCGCGGUAAUACGAAGGGGGCUAGCGUUGCUCGGAAUCACUGGGCGUAAAGGGCGCGUAGGCGGCCGAUUAAGUCGGGGGUGAAAGCCUGUGGCUCAACCACAGAAUUGCCUUCGAUACCGGUUGGCUUGAGACCGGAAGAGGACAGCGGAACUGCGAGU